GGGGGCAACCCUGAUCCAGCAAUGCCGCGUGAGUGAAGAAGGCCUUCGGGUUGUAAAGCUCUUUUGUCAGGGAAGAAACGGUGGUCUNUAAUAUAGACUGCUAAUGACGGUACCUGAAGAAUAAGCNCCGGCUAACUACGUGCCAGCAGCCGNGGUAAUACGUAGGGUGCAAGCGUUNAUNGGAAUUACUGGGCGUAAAGCGUGCGCAGGNGGUUAUAUAAGUCAGAUGUGAAAUCCCCGGGCUCAACCUGGGAACUGCAUUUGAGACUGUAUGGCUAGAGUGUGUCAGAGGGGGGUAGAAUUCCACGUGUAGCAGUGAAAUGCGUAGAUAUGNGGAGGAAUACCGAUGGNGAAGGCAGCCCCCUGGGAUAACACUGACGCUCAUGCANGAAAGCGUGGGGAGCAAACAGGAUUAGAUACCCUGGUNGUCCNCNCCCUAAACGAUGUCUACUAGUUGUCGGGUCUUAAUUGNCUNGGUAACG
This 482-nucleotide ribosomal RNA is filed under the name uncultured bacterium. RNAcentral describes it as "partial 16S rRNA". It matches the Rfam family "Bacterial small subunit ribosomal RNA", at positions 373 to 848 of the family's 1533-position model. The record is from RNAcentral.